CCUACGGGGGGCAGCAGUGGGGAAUAUUGCGCAAUGGGCGAAAGCCUGACGCAGCGACGCCGCGUGAGGGAUGAAGGUCUUCGGAUCGUAAACCUCUGUCAGCAGGGAAGAACGGUCACUGUGCUAAUCAGCAGUGAAUUGACGGUACCUGCAAAGGAAGCAUCGGCUAACUCUGUGCCAGCAGCCGCGGUAAUACGGCGGGUGCGAGUGUUAAUCGGAAUUAUUGGGCGUAAAGCGCUCGUAGGCGGUAUGUCAAGUCAAGGGUGAAAUCCCCGGGCUCAACGUGGGAACUGCCUUUGAAACUGGCAAACUUGAGUGUGUGAGAGGAUAGUGGAAUUCCAGGUGUAGGAGUGAAAUCCGUAGAUAUCAGGAGGAACAUCAGUGGCGAAGGCGACUAUCUGGCACAUAACUGACGCUGAGGAGCGAAAGCGUGGGUAGCAAACAGGAUUAGAUACCCUAGUAGUC
This 465-nucleotide ribosomal RNA is filed under the name uncultured bacterium. RNAcentral describes it as "partial 16S ribosomal RNA". It matches the Rfam family "Bacterial small subunit ribosomal RNA", at positions 338 to 795 of the family's 1533-position model. The record is from RNAcentral.